GUACUGCUGAGGUGUCCUAUACUGGGACGAAACGACCGUCUAGUAC
Molecule: non-coding RNA, 46 nt
Filed under: Schistosoma mattheei
Lineage: Eukaryota; Metazoa; Platyhelminthes; Trematoda; Strigeidida; Schistosomatidae
Source: RNAcentral